UACGGGAGGCAGCAGUGAGGAAUAUUGGUCAAUGGACGCAAGUCUGACCAGCCAUGCCGCGUGCAGGAUGACGGUCCUAUGGAUUGUAAACUGCUUUUAUACAGGAAGAACACUCCCUCGUGAGGAGCUGACGGUACUGUAGCUACCC
This 148-nucleotide ribosomal RNA is filed under the name Flavobacteria bacterium enrichment culture clone YYS3. Its description in RNAcentral is "partial 16S ribosomal RNA". It matches the Rfam family "Bacterial small subunit ribosomal RNA", at positions 340 to 489 of the family's 1533-position model. The record is from RNAcentral. Lineage: Bacteria; Pseudomonadati; Bacteroidota; Flavobacteriia.